CCUACGGGAGGCAGCAGUGGGGAAUAUUGCACAAUGGGGGAAACCCUGAUGCAGCGACGCCGCGGGAGUGAAGAAGGAAUGCGGGAUGUAAAGCUCUAUCAGCAGGGAAGAAAAUGACGGUACCUGAGUAAGAAGCCCCGGCUAACUACGUGCCAGCAGCCGCGGCAAUACGUAGGGGGCAAGCGUUAUCCGGAUUGACUGGGUGUAAAGGGAGCGUAGACGGCAGUGCAAGUCUGGAGUGAAAGGCGGGGGCUCAACCCCCGGACUGCUCUGGAAACUGUACGGCUGGAGUGCAGGAGAGGUAAGUGGAAUUCCUAGUGUAGCGGUGAAAUGCGUAGAUAUUAGGAGGAACACCAGUGGCGAAGGCGGCUUACUGGACUGUAACUGACGUUGAGGCUCGAAAGCGUGGGGAGCAAACAGGAUUAGAUACCCUGGUAGUC
Molecule: ribosomal RNA, 440 nt
Filed under: uncultured bacterium
Lineage: Bacteria
Description: partial 16S ribosomal RNA
Rfam family: Bacterial small subunit ribosomal RNA
Source: RNAcentral